AAGUCGUACGAGAGUUUUUAACUUAAGUGGCGGACGGGUGAGUAAAGCCCAAUUUACCUUUAGGAGGGGGAUAACAGCUGGAAAGGUUGCAAAUACCCCAUAUGCUUUCGAGUGAAAUGGAUUUCUGCCUAAAGAGAAGCUUGCGGCUGAUUAGCUUGUUGGUGAGGUAAUGGCUCACCAAGGCGACGAUCAGUAUCUGGUUUGAGAGGAUGAUCAGACACACUGGAACUGAGACACGGUUCAGACUCCUGCGGGAGGCAGCAGUGGGGAAUUUUCCGCAAUGGGCGAAAGCCUGACGGAGCAAUACCGCGUGAAGGAUGACUGCCUAUGGGUUGUAAACUUCUUUUUUCAGGGAGGAAUUAAUGACGUGUACCUGAAGAAUAAGCAUCGGCUAACUCCGUGCCAGCAGCCGCGGUAAGACGGAGGAUGCAAGUGUUAUCCGGAAUCACUGGGCGUAAAGCGUCUGUAGGUGGUCUAACAAGUCAACUGUUAAAUCUUGAGGCUCAACCUCAAAACUGCAGUUGAAACUGCUAAACUAGAGUAUAGUAGGGGUAAAGGGAAUUUCCAGUGGAGCGGUGAAAUGCGUAGAGAUUGGAAGGAACACCGAUGGCGAA
RNAcentral lists this ribosomal RNA (614 nucleotides) under uncultured marine organism. RNAcentral describes it as "SSU rRNA". It matches the Rfam family "Bacterial small subunit ribosomal RNA", at positions 59 to 719 of the family's 1533-position model. The record is from RNAcentral.